RNAcentral lists this ribosomal RNA (345 nucleotides) under uncultured eukaryote. RNAcentral's name for it is "SSU rRNA". It matches the Rfam family "Eukaryotic small subunit ribosomal RNA", at positions 594 to 945 of the family's 1831-position model. The record is from RNAcentral.
AUAGCGUAUAUUAAAGUUGUUGAGGUUAAAAAGCUCGUAGUUGAACCUUGGGCCUAGCCGGCCGGUCCGCCUCACCGCGUGCACUGGCUCGGUUGGGCCUUUCUUUCUGGAGAACCCCAUGUCCUUCACUGGGUGUGGUGGGGAACCAGGACUUUUACCGUGAACAAAUCAGAUCGCUUAAAGAAGGCCUAUGCUCGAAUGUAUUAGCAUGGAAUAAUGGAAUAGGACGUGUGGUUCUAUUUUGUUGGUUUGAGGACCAAAGUAAUGAUUAAUAGGGCCAGUCGGGGGCAUUAGUAUUCUAUAGUCAGAGGUGAAAUUCUUGGAUUUUUUGAAGACUAACUACUG